This 303-nucleotide ribosomal RNA is filed under the name uncultured bacterium. Its description in RNAcentral is "partial 16S ribosomal RNA". It matches the Rfam family "Bacterial small subunit ribosomal RNA", at positions 507 to 807 of the family's 1533-position model. The record is from RNAcentral.
AGCAGCAGCCGCGGUAAUACGAAGGGUGCAAGCGUUAAUCGGAAUUACUGGGCGUAAAGCGUGCGUAGGCGGUUUGUUAAGUCUGCUGUGAAAUCCCCGGGCUCAACCUGGGAAUGGCAGUGGAUACUGGCAAGCUAGAGUGUGUCAGAGGAUGGUGGAAUUCCCGGUGUAGCGGUGAAAUGCGUAGAGAUCGGGAGGAACAUCAGUGGCGAAGGCGGCCAUCUGGGACAACACUGACGCUGAGGCACGAAAGCGUGGGGAGCAAACAGGAUUAGAUACCCGAGUAGUCCCUGUCUCUUAUAC